This 491-nucleotide ribosomal RNA is filed under the name uncultured bacterium. RNAcentral's name for it is "partial 16S ribosomal RNA". It matches the Rfam family "Bacterial small subunit ribosomal RNA", at positions 29 to 507 of the family's 1533-position model. The record is from RNAcentral.
GUGAACGCUGGCGGUAGGCCUAACACCUGCAAGUCGCACGGCAGCACAGUAAGAGCUUGCUCUUACGGGUGGCGAGUGGCGGACGGGUGAGGAAUACAUCGGAAUCUACUUUUUCGUGGGGGAUAACGUAGGGAAACUUACGCUAAUACCGCAUACGACCUACGGGUGAAAGCAGGGGAUCUUCGGACCUUGCGCGAUUGAAUGAGCCGAUGUCGGAUUAGCUAGUUGGCGGGGUAAAGGCCCACCAAGGCGACGAUCCGUAGCUGGUCUGAGAGGAUGAUCAGCCACACUGGAACUGAGACACGGUCCAGACUCCUACGGGAGGCAGCAGUGGGGAAUAUUGGACAAUGGGCGCAAGCCUGAUCCAGCCAUACCGCGUGGGUGAAGAAGGCCUUCGGGUUGUAAAGCCCUUUUGUUGGGAAAGAAAAGCAGCAGGUUAAUACCCCGCUGUUCUGACGGUACCCAAAGAAUAAGCACCGGCUAACUUCGUG